RNAcentral lists this ribosomal RNA (425 nucleotides) under uncultured bacterium. Its description in RNAcentral is "partial 16S ribosomal RNA". It matches the Rfam family "Bacterial small subunit ribosomal RNA", at positions 354 to 796 of the family's 1533-position model. The record is from RNAcentral.
GUGGGGAAUCUUGCGCAAUGGGCGAAAGCCUGACGCAGCCAUGCCGCGUGGAUGAUGAAGGUCUUAGGAUUGUAAAAUCCUUUCACCGGUGAAGAUAAUGACUGUAGCCGGAGAAGAAGCCCCGGCUAACUUCGUGCCAGCAGCCGCGGUAAUACGAAGGGGGCUAGCGUUGCUCGGAUUUACUGGGCGUAAAGGGCGCGUAGGCGGACAUUUAAGUCAGGGGUGAAAUCCCGGGGCUCAACCUCGGAACUGCCUUUGAUACUGGGUGUCUUGAGUAUGAGAGGGGGGGGUGGAACUCCGAGUGUAGAGGUGAAAUUCGGAGAUAUUCGGAAGAACACCAGUGGCGAAGGCGACACACUGGCUCAUUACUGACGCUGAGGCGCGAAAGCGUGGGGAGCAAACAGGAUUAGAUUCCCUGGUAGUCC